GACGAACGCUGGCGGCGUGCUUAACACAUGCAAGUCGAACGGAAAGACCCUGCUUUUGUGGGGUGCUCGAGUGGCGAACGGGUGAGUAACACGUGAGUAACCUGCCCUUGACUUUGGGAUAACUUCAGGAAACUGGGGCUAAUACCGGAUAGGAGCUCCUGCUGCAUGGUGGGGGUUGGAAAGUUUCGGCGGUUGGGGAUGGACUCGCGGCUUAUCAGCUUGUUGGUGGGGUAGUGGCUUACCAAGGCUUUGACGGGUAGCCGGCCUGAGAGGGUGACCGGCCACAUUGGGACUGAGAUACGGCCCAGACUCGUACGGGAGGCAGCAGUGGGGAAUAUUGCACAAUGGGCGGAAGCCUGAUGCAGCAACGCCGCGUGCGGGAUGACGGCCUUCGGGUUGUAAACCGCUUUCGCCUGUGACGAAGCGUGAGUGACGGUAAUGGGUAAAGAAGCACCGGCUAACUACGUG
This 468-nucleotide ribosomal RNA is filed under the name uncultured bacterium. RNAcentral's name for it is "partial 16S ribosomal RNA". It matches the Rfam family "Bacterial small subunit ribosomal RNA", at positions 28 to 507 of the family's 1533-position model. The record is from RNAcentral.